CAAACGAGCGCAACCNUUGUCUUUAGUNGCCAUCAUUAAGUUGGGCACUCUAAAGAGACUGCCGGUGUCAAACCGGAGGAAGGUGGGGAUGACGUCAAGUCCUCAUGGCCUUUAUGACCAGGGCUACACACGUACUACAAUGGCAUAGACAAAGGGCAGCGACACCGCGAGGUGGAGCGAAUCCCAUAAACUAUGUCUCAGUCCGGAUUGGAGUCUGCAACUCGACUCCAUGAAGUUGGAAUCGCUAGUAAUCGUGGAUCAGCAUGCCACGGUGAAUACGUUCCCGGGCCUUGUACACACCGCCCGUCACACCACGGGAGUUGGUUGUACCAGAAGCAGUUGAGCGAACUAUUCGUAGGCGCAGGNNGCCAAGGUAUGAUUGGUAACUGGGGNGAAGUCGUAACAAGGUAUUCC
This 414-nucleotide ribosomal RNA is filed under the name uncultured bacterium. RNAcentral's name for it is "bacterial SSU rRNA". It matches the Rfam family "Bacterial small subunit ribosomal RNA", at positions 1089 to 1502 of the family's 1533-position model. The record is from RNAcentral.